Molecule: transfer RNA, 76 nt
Filed under: Caudoviricetes sp.
Lineage: Duplodnaviria; Heunggongvirae; Uroviricota; Caudoviricetes
Description: tRNA-Ala
Rfam family: tRNA
About the family: Transfer RNA (tRNA) molecules are approximately 80 nucleotides in length.
Source: RNAcentral
GGGGCCUUAGCUCAUCUGGGAGAGCGCCUGCCUUGCAAGCAGGAGGUGGCGGGUUCGAGUCCCGCAGGUUCCACCA